UCUAAAUCUGAAGAUUAUGGUAAACUUGUAACAUUAAAACAAAAGUUUUGAACAUUUUUAGCACCCAAAAUAUACGUCAUGUCCGCCGAUGUGCGACAGGCUUUCCUGGCGAACCCCACAUGUCUGGCAGACCGCAUUUUUUUAGCGCACUGAUUUAUUGACUUUUUGAUCCUUGCCUGGAAGAUACAUCAUGAAUAAAUCCAAGAAAAGGAAACAUUCUGAAGAUGGCAGAACAUUUAAUGCUACGUGAACAGAUCAUUUUGCUUCACCGCUGAUGAAACUGGUUUACCUUCUGCUUAAUAUGUGGCGACAGACUGGCAAACAACAAGAAGUCAAAUGUUGAAAGACAUUUCGAGAGCAAACACUGUCUUUGCUAAAAAAUAUCCUGAGGGAGAGGAGAGAAAAAAAAAUUAAACCCAGUGCUGCCUGGUUCUUUGUUUAGAUCAGCCUUGUUUCUGUUUCACCUUAGUCCACUUCUUCUGACUGAUUCUAUGAUAAUUAUGUUUAUUUAUUCCCUUUGUUUAGUUAUUCUUUGCUACAGUUAGUUUCAUCUUUCUACUUCCUGUGUUUACUCUCACCUGAAGCCUGUUAGCCAAUCAGCUCCGGUGUUUUGCUCACUAUUUAAACUCGUCUCUCUUCUCGUUGGAUCUUCAUGUUGCUUCCCUGGUUUCCUCCUUCUUGCACUCGGCUCCUGUUUUGUUCCAACUCCCUGUGUUCCCCAUGUUUUUGUUGUUUUUUCAUUAAAUAUAUCAAAUCUUCUAUCUGCUUCAUCUACAUGUGUUUGUGAAUUCAUCACCAUGACGUCACUGUAAGCAUCUGUGUGUAACCAGGAUAAUUUUUCUAUACUAGAUUUAGUUUUUUUAUUUUUUAUUUUGUUAGAUUUAAUGUAUUUUUAUUUAAAAGUUUAAUUAAAAUCCCCCUUUCUUUAAUCUAUUUAACACCAACCAGGCGAGAACAACAUUGUUCUCGCCUGGUUUGACGUCAUGUGACAGCUGCAGGUCAGCGUCCUAAAUUGACCUCUACGGCUUAUAUGGCUGCUAACCGCACCUUCGGUAGGAAACGCUGUCGGACCCUGACGUACAGACGGGCGAUUAAUCAACCGAACGUUGUAAAGGUCACGGUAGGUCAAGAGGGAACUGGUGAGUGUUUGCUCGGGAGCUAGCAUGCUAGCACUAGUCUCCCCAGCCUGUUGUAAUUAUACACCGAUCUAAAGCACAUUCAAAUUGAAAUGCUUACUGAAACUAUUGUUGUGUAAAAAUACUGUUUUGCAUAAGUUGCAUUUAAUUAUUAUGUAAACUCCUGCAAUUCUAAGAAAAUCCAUGUAAAUUGAUUAUUUAGGCCUGUUUACCAGGCCAGGUGUAUUGCAGAUCCCUGCUCACUGAUUGGCUGAAGGGUCUGGAAUACAGCAAGGAUCGUCUGGCUUCAUGCUGACCAGACUGGCCAGCUAAACGUUUCAGCGGAUCCGGAAAUACAAAACCUAUUAUCUGAGGAAACUCUUCUGAACUGGUUGGAGAUUCAGCCCAACAAGUCUUCAUUGAAGGAACUGGAUUAUUAUUAAUAUUUUGUUUUUCCCUUUCAUCAUCAACAAAGACUGGUUGACUGCCUUGGUAUAAGGAACUCUUUUGGACUCUAAAUUGUGGACUAACUUGUAUAUAUUGUAAAUAUUAAUACAACUCACCAAUUUUUGCACCAUC
Xiphophorus couchianus (Monterrey platyfish) is the source of this 1694-nucleotide long non-coding RNA. RefSeq lists it as uncharacterized. The record is from RefSeq and is a predicted model, not a curated record. Lineage: Eukaryota; Metazoa; Chordata; Actinopteri; Cyprinodontiformes; Poeciliidae. The transcript has 2 exons.